AGUGAGAAACGGUUGAUUAUUCUUCUACUUCAAUAAAGUACAACGAUCCAGAAGACGCUGUACCUGCCGAGUAACGAAGUCAACCGCAGGCUGCCUGCCAGUCGGCGACGGAUCAGCUGCACGGGUCACCGCUGCACGGAAUGAACGAUGGCGAGUGGUGACGACCCGCCACCCGGACCGUCAAAGGGAAUGCGACCAUCGCUGUUCCAACGGCGACAGACGAACUUUGGGUUGCUCUAGAGGCGCAGGCGCUCGUCGAGUGUUACAUAGCCUUAUGUGCAGCUGUCUGGGUCAAUCGACCUCCUCUAAUUCGGCGUCAGCGCCCGUGCCGAGCUGCUGGAUGGGCCGGCCACUGGAGCAUGUCAGCCCAAUACCUCCACCGUAUCGGCCGCCGGGCGACCGCCGCCUGCCCCGGCUGCGCGACCGCCGCCUGCCCCGGCUGCGCGGACACUGGCUGUCCGGCCGCCCGGUGCCUGGUGUGCGAGGAGGAGGCGGACACCCCGCAACACGUCCUGCUGCGCUGCCCGUGCCUCUGCGGGGCCCGCCUCCUCGCCAUGGGCAACAUUUACGGACGCCCCACCGACUUGAGACGGGACGGCGUGGUGGCGGCCUUGGCCGCCGGCUUUCGGUCCUUCCAGAGCCGAACGACUACGCCCCGGUGACGGGGCCGAGGGGAAUACAACAACAACAGCUGCUGGAUGCAGGCGAUCAUUAGCUGCGAUAGCUUAUAUGUCUCCAAAAAAAUGGUGAAUGAACUUGGUGAAUAAUUAAGUUUAGAGGUUUGCGUGACACCGAGAUCGACUGUAGAAAUAGCCCUAAUUGAACAGUUACCUAUUCUUCGGUGUCGAGCCGUACGUGUUGCAGUCGUUUAUGACGGUGUACCGCCUAAGCAGUUUCUAAGAUGUUCUCAACGGGCUGCGUGCUUCCAGCUGUCUGAGUG
Molecule: long non-coding RNA, 940 nt
Organism: Amphibalanus amphitrite
Lineage: Eukaryota; Metazoa; Arthropoda; Thecostraca; Balanomorpha; Balanidae
Exons: 2
Source: RefSeq, a predicted model, not a curated record